AAACGUAGGUGGCAAGCGUUGUCCGGAAUUAUUGGGCGUAAAGGGCGUGCAGGCGGUUUUAUAAGUCUGAUGUGAAAGCUCGCGGCUUAACCGCGAAGUGUCAUUGGAAACUGUAGGACUUGAGUACAGAAGAGGAGAGUGGAAUUCCACGUGUAGCGGUGAAAUGCGUAGAGAUGUGGAGGAACACCAGUGGCGAAGGCGGCUCUCUGGUCUGUGACUGACGCUGAGGCGCGAAAGCGUGGGUAGCAAACAGGAUUAGAUACCCUGGUAGUCCACGCCGUAAACGAUGAGUGCUAGGUGUUGGGGGUUUCCACCCUCAGUGCUGAAGUCAACACAAUAAGCACUCCGCCUGGGGAGUACGACCGCAAGGUUGAA
Molecule: ribosomal RNA, 375 nt
Filed under: uncultured bacterium
Lineage: Bacteria
Description: bacterial SSU rRNA
Rfam family: Bacterial small subunit ribosomal RNA
Source: RNAcentral